Molecule: long non-coding RNA, 647 nt
Organism: Apis mellifera (honey bee)
Lineage: Eukaryota; Metazoa; Arthropoda; Insecta; Hymenoptera; Apidae
Exons: 3
Source: RefSeq, a predicted model, not a curated record
UAAGUUAUUCAUCGUGUUAUUGUACGUGUACGAUCGACGAAGAUCGCGCGUGUUUAUAUACGCAUGUUUAUAUAAGUCGUAUACAUAUCGUAUACAUAUCGUAUACUAAGUCGAAGUUCGUACGGCGACGACCUCUAAUGUAAAGGCAUUAUUCCGUGUUGGACUUUCGACGCAGAUACAUCGGAGCGCGACGCAAUACGAUACGAAAUUAAUAAGAAGAAGAAGAAGGAAAAGGAGGAGGAGAAGGAGAAGAAGAAAAGUACUCACCGUCUGGCACCGCGUGGCUGGUCAUCAAGAAAUUAACGCAGGCUGCCCCUGUACCGUGUCCAAUCAACGUCACGUUCCUAGGAUCGCCGCCGAAGUUGCCGAUGUUCUCCUGCACCCAAUGGAGCGCCGCGAUUUGAUCCAUCAGACCGUAAUUCGCUGGCGAGCAGUUUGCGUAUCGGGGAGGGGGAGGAUGGGAGAGAGGAGGCCCGGUUGGAAUAAAGGGAGAAGUUUCGAAAUGGGAUGGAGAGACGGAGUGGAACAGGAGGGGAGGGGAGGGUAACGAUAAUUCAACUGCGUACAGUAAGUCAAACUUCCGAAUGAUAACUUGGAACAUCUGUUGCGAUACUUAGCGAAGCAAUAAAGAGUUUAAUGAGUUUCGA